UACGUAGGGUGCAAGCGUUGUCCGGAAUUAUUGGGCGUAAAGAGCUCGUAGGCGGUUCGUCGCGUCGGCUGUGAAAACCCGGAGCUCAACUCCGGGCCUGCAGUCGAUACGGGCGGACUUGAGUGUUGCAGGGGAGACUGGAAUUCCUGGUGUAGCGGUGAAAUGCGCAGAUAUCAGGAGGAACACCGGUGGCGAAGGCGGGUCUCUGGGCAACUACUGACGCUGAGGAGCGAAAGCGUGGGGAGCGAAUGGG
Molecule: ribosomal RNA, 253 nt
Filed under: uncultured bacterium
Lineage: Bacteria
Description: partial 16S ribosomal RNA
Rfam family: Bacterial small subunit ribosomal RNA
Source: RNAcentral